Molecule: small nucleolar RNA, 141 nt
Organism: Heteronotia binoei (common prickly gecko)
Lineage: Eukaryota; Metazoa; Chordata; Lepidosauria; Squamata; Gekkonidae
Product: small nucleolar RNA SNORA57
Exons: 1
Source: RefSeq, a predicted model, not a curated record
CCUCUUGUUCUUGCCAGGCCUGGGCAGCAGAGUGCUCAGCUUCGUUAUGUCUGGAGGUAGAAGAAACUCUGCCCAGGGUUCCAUCUUCAGUGCCAGCAGCUUUUCGAUUUAUUGGUUCUGCCCUCACGCACCAAAACAAAG